Molecule: long non-coding RNA, 3624 nt
Filed under: Gallus gallus (chicken)
Lineage: Eukaryota; Metazoa; Chordata; Aves; Galliformes; Phasianidae
Source: RNAcentral
GGGCAGUAAAGUAGCAUGGCUUCCUGAUUGCUGUACUGAUCAACAGAAGAAGGGGAUGAAUACUGUUAAAAAGGAUUUAUUUUUAUAUUUGCCAUUCUGCACAAGCACCCCAUGGUUUAAGAACUGCUACACAGACAGAUCUACGAAGAACAGGUAUCUAUGCUGUAUCUGUAAACACAUCAAGAGAAGUACUUUCGUAACAUCAUGAUUGCUUUACAAAACCUGAAGUUAAAAUCUGAGUGCAAAUCAAUUCAUGUUAAAAACUUGUUCAAUUACUGAAUUCCUUUAAAAAUUGCUUCCGAAACUGUGAAGGCUAUUUUCUGGUUCUUGCACUUGUUCUUGUGCUUGAUCUUGUUCUCCUGUCUGUUUCUCCAGGAUUCCGAGUUGUUUUUAUGCCUCCUCCAUCAAGUUCUUCUUUGGCUUUGUUUCUUCUUCCUCUUUUGGGUGAUCUAUUUUCAUCAUUAUCUGAUUUUAACUUUUUGGGUGCUAAGACAUCUGCUGGCAAUUGACAUUUUCUUCUGCGAGAAAUGGAAGCUGGCUGUUGAGCAGGGCUAACCUCCUUUGUAGACUGCUUAUUUUUUUCAGAACCAGUGGAUGCCAAACACUUAUUUUGAGUUUCUGAACUGUUAUCAUUUUCUGGCAAGUUGCCCUUAUCUUGGAGAGAAGUAGAAGUAGCUGCCUCUGAUUUGAAUUCUACCUUUUCCCUCUUGUUUCUCAGCUGCCUAUGGUUUUCCUGGGAUGAAUUAUUUUCCAGGAAUGUACCUUCAGACUCAUUAAGAUUUCCCUUUUGACCUCUGUUGUUGCAGAAGACAUGUUUUUCCCUGAGAAAACUGGAUCUAGUAUCCUCAGAUUUGAAACAAACUGCUUUUUUUCUGCCCAAUCUCAAUGGAUUUUCUUCUGAAGACGGAGUUAUUUCCAGAAGCAUACUCUGCUGUUCCUCUGGAGAUUCAUUCUUACCAUCUUCUGGCAAACCCUGAAGAGACCUAGAGCUAUCAGGCUGUGAAGUGCUAUUUUUUUUCCUUGAGUAGCCUUUCGAAUAAUUCAUUUUUCCUUGGGAAGCAGAUUGUUCAGGAAUCAGGUUUUUAGCUUCCCUAUGAUUAUUCCUUCUACCACUUUCCUUUGAUAAGCUGUGUGUUCCCUGAGCAGAACUUGUGGCUUCUGACAAGAAGGUCAUUUGAUUCCUCCUGCCUCUUCUCAGCUGAUUUUCUUUCAGAGAUGAAGCAACAGUUUCUAAUGGAACGUUAUCCUCUUUAGGAGCCUCUUCUUUAACACUGUUUGCUGGCAAGCCACGUUUUCCUCUAAGAGAAAUUGAAUUAGUUGUGUGUGACACCAGAGCUUCUUUCCUCCUGCCCCUUCCUAAUGGGUUCACUUUUGUGAGGGACACUGGUUCCAAAGGCAUAUUUUGUUCCUCAUUAGUAUUCGCCUCUUUAUCACUGUUUUGUGACAAGCCACACUUCCUCUGGAGAGAAGAUGAACUUUUUGCCUCUGCUGCUAGAUCGAUCUUUUUUCUUUUGUCCCUUGCUGAUGCAUUUGUCUCUGCCUGCAAAGUUUCAUUUCCCAAAGCUGGAUUUUGAUCUUCUUUCACAGUCGUCUUUUUAUCGUCACCUUCUUGCAACCCACGUUUUUUUCUGGUAGAAAGAGAACUCGUCGCUUGUGAUGCUACAGCAACCUCUCGUCUUUUUCCCCGUCUCAGUGGAUUGCCUUCUGUUGAAGAGGGAGUAGCUUCCGAAGGUGGAUCAUGGUCUUUCACAGAACUCUCAUCUUUACUAUGAUCUUCAAUUAAGAUCCGCUGUUUUGUAAAGGUAGAAACAGCUGCUUGUGGAAUGGAAUUAACUUGCUUUCUUCUGCUCCUCCUUACUUGAGAAGAAGGAUUUUCUGAAGUCUCUUGUUGACCAAGUUUGGAAGUCAUUCCUUCCUCAUCCCCAGAUGAACUCCUUUUUUGCCCAAGUGCUUUGGAACUGGUUUGUUCAAGUUCAAAAUUAACUUUUCUAAUUCUACCUCUUCUACACAUCGCUCCAUUGUUUUGUGUUUGAUUCUCUUGCAGAAUUUCAGUUUGCUUUGAUUUCAGAACCUGUUCAUUUUCUGUCUGCUUUUGAUGGCUAUGAACACCACUGUCACUGUUUACAGCAGUAACUGGUGUGGCAGAUUUGUCUAUCUUCCUUUCAUCAACACAACCUGAAGGCUCUUUGGGAGCAGAUUCCUCCAUUUCUGUUUCUGAUUUAAAUUUGAGUGUUACUAGCUCUGAGCUGUUUACAUCUUUAGCAGAUUCAUCAGUCUUUUGCUCUGAAGAGUCCUUCUUGCCUCUCCUGCUCCUAGUUCUGUUUGUUCCUUGCACUGUGCUGUUUGAUUCCAAGACCAGAACAGUAGUUGGCAUUUUGUUUGUUUCUCCAGAAGGUGACUGUGAUUUUAAUCUCUGAGAUGCUUCUCUUGCAUUUGCCUGAGUAUUUUCAGCUUCAUCUCUCAGAGAUGCUUCCCUCUCAUUAUUGGUGGGCGAUUGUGUUUCAGUAACAAUUUCAUCCGAAAUUUCCUUGAUUUUCUGAACGUUCUGUGUAUUUUCAGGUGCCAUCCCGUAACUGUUCGAUUUUACUUCUGUCGAGUGUUUCGUAGCAUUUCUCGAAGACUUAACUCUUUUUUGUGUUAUCUUCAUUUCAACUUUGUUCCUGUUUUCAGAUUCUUUUGCUGAAACAGCCUCAAAAAUCUGCUCAUCCUCUUGUAUCAUCUUUGCAGAUGGUUGUUUACGAAGCCUCCUUGUUGUUGCAUGAAGCUCCUCUGAAGCUUGCUUAAAUUGGUCAUUCUUAGCUCUCCUUCCUCUUUUAGGUGCAAUCGGUUCUUCUGUGUUUUCUACUUUUCUCACUUCUCUAGCCCUCUUCAUAGGCAGUGGAAGCAUUUCUUCACUGUCUCCUGCACUAGCUUCGUUACAUGUAUUUUCAGAGUUUUUAAGAUCUGUUUGCAGUUGACAAUUUUCAUUUUGACUGUUACUAGGUAUACUUUCUGCCUUCAUGUUUUGAAUGUCUUCUUUUAUUAAUAUGUCAUUGAUGAUAAAAUCCUGCAAAGCCAGUUUCAUAGUUGCAGGUUCUUUUUGCAACACUGAAGAAUCUUUGCCACAAGACUCAAGGUUCUCAUCUGGAAGUUUUAACUCCUGUGCUUCUUUCCUUUUACCUCUUCUUGGUCUUUGCAUUUCCAAAGUUGAAACAGUUUCAUCUUUUUUCUCAUCAUUAUGUUUUGAAACGUUUUCUUCUACCGCGCAAGCAUUUGUUCUCCUUCCUCUUCCUAGAUUUUUAGCUACUGAAGUUGAAGUUCUGACCUCUCCCAUCUCUUCUUGGAAGCUCUUUUUCUCCAGACCUUGCAAUUCUUUUAAAUUUAAAUCCUUUUCAGUCUGCUUUAUUGAAGCAGGAUGUACAGUCUUCCUCAAUCUGCUUCUGGUUGGUCUCUGGGUAGACUGGUCUUCACUAGUUGACUUCCUCUGUUGAGAAUCUUCACCUUGUGAAGUAUUCCCUUUGUCUUCUAAAGCGUAUUCAUGACUGCAAUGAGUAGAAGGAGGUACAGUAUCUUCUUGCUUAGGAUCCAUAACACUUACUGACUUGAUCUUAGUUUUCUCUGGUGUAUCAAAUAUUUCCUUCACUC